UGCAAGUCGAGCGGGACCGACGGGAGCUUGCUCCCUUAGGUCAGCGGCGGACGGGUGAGUAACACGUGGGUAACCUGCCUGUAAGACUGGGAUAACUCCGGGAAACCGGGGCUAAUACCGGAUGCUUGAUUGAACCGCAUGGUUCAAUCAUAAAAGGUGGCUUUUAGCUACCACUUACAGAUGGACCCGCGGCGCAUUAGCUAGUUGGUGAGGUAACGGCUCACCAAGGCGACGAUGCGUAGCCGACCUGAGAGGGUGAUCGGCCACACUGGGACUGAGACACGGCCCAGACUCCUACGGGAGGCAGCAGUAGGGAAUCUUCCGCAAUGGACGAAAGUCUGACGGAGCAACGCCGCGUGAGUGAUGAAGGUUUUCGGAUCGUAAAACUCUGUUGUUAGGGAAGAACAAGUACCGUUCGAAUAGGGCGGUACCUUGACGGUACCUAACCAGAAAGCCACGGCUAACUACGUGCCAGCAGC
This 479-nucleotide ribosomal RNA is filed under the name Bacillus licheniformis. Its description in RNAcentral is "bacterial SSU rRNA". It matches the Rfam family "Bacterial small subunit ribosomal RNA", at positions 56 to 515 of the family's 1533-position model. Lineage: Bacteria; Bacillati; Bacillota; Bacilli; Caryophanales; Bacillaceae. The record is from RNAcentral.